UAGUCCACGCCGUAAACGAUGGAUACUAGCUGUCCGGCGCACAUUGGUGUGCUGGGCGGCCAAGCGAAAGUGAUAAGUAUCCCACCUGGGGAGUACGUUCGCAAGAAUGAAACUCAAAGGAAUUGACAGGGGCCCGCACAAGCGGUGGAGCAUGUGGUUUAAUUCGAUGAUACGCGAGGAACCUUACCAGGGCUUAAAUGCAUAACGACAGGCGCAGAGAUGUGCCCUCUUCGGGCGUUUUGCAAGGUGCUGCAUGGUUGUCGUCAGCUCGUGCCGUGAGGUGUCAGGUUAAGUCCUAUAACGAGCGCAACCCCUACCGUUAGUUGCCAGCAUGUCAUGAUGGGGACUCUAACGGGACUGCCGGUGCAAACCGCGAGGAAGUGGGGGACACGGUCAAAUCAUCACGGGCCCUUACGGUCCUGGGGCCACACACGUGCUACAAUGGCCGGUACAGCGGGGAA
This 461-nucleotide ribosomal RNA is filed under the name uncultured bacterium. Its description in RNAcentral is "bacterial SSU rRNA". It matches the Rfam family "Bacterial small subunit ribosomal RNA", at positions 791 to 1249 of the family's 1533-position model. The record is from RNAcentral.